CAGGAUGAACGCUAGCGGCAGGCUUAACACAUGCAAGUCGAGGGGCAUCGGGAGUAGCAAUACUUGCCGGCGACCGGCGCAAGGGUGCGUAACGCGUGAGCAACAUGCCCGUAUCAGGGGGAUAAUCCAUGGAAACGUGGUCUAAUACCCCAUAGUAAUUAUGUAAGGCAUCUUAUAUAAUUUAAAGCUUUGGUGGAUACGGAUUGGCUCGCGUGACAUUAGCUAGAUGGUAAGGUAACGGCUUACCAUGGCUACGAUGUCUAGGGGUUCUGAGAGGAAGGUCCCCCACACUGGAACUGAGACACGGUCCAGACUCCUACGGGAGGCAGCAGUGAGGAAUAUUGGACAAUGGAUGGAAAUCUGAUCCAGCCAUGCCGCGUGCAAGGAAGACGGCCCUAUGGGUUGUAAACUGCUUUUGUAUGGGAGCAAUAAGGGCUACGCGUAGUCCGAUGAGAGUACCAUACGAAUAAGCACCGGCUAACUCCGUGCCAGCAGCCGC
RNAcentral lists this ribosomal RNA (499 nucleotides) under uncultured bacterium. Its description in RNAcentral is "bacterial SSU rRNA". It matches the Rfam family "Bacterial small subunit ribosomal RNA", at positions 25 to 518 of the family's 1533-position model. The record is from RNAcentral.